ACGAGCCACAUGCAGGGAAACUUGCACGUGUGGUUCUGGCAGGGACCCCGGUAUACUGUAC
Non-coding RNA from Triticum aestivum (bread wheat), 61 nucleotides. NCBI's taxonomy places the organism in Eukaryota, Viridiplantae, Streptophyta, Magnoliopsida, Poales, Poaceae. The record is from Rfam.